Molecule: transfer RNA, 35 nt
Filed under: Moerckia flotoviana
Lineage: Eukaryota; Viridiplantae; Streptophyta; Jungermanniopsida; Pallaviciniales; Moerckiaceae
Also listed under: 3 other names
Description: partial tRNA-Leu
Source: RNAcentral
GGGGGUAUGGCGAAAUCGGUAGACGCUACGGACUU